This 86-nucleotide transfer RNA is filed under the name Aureispira sp. CCB-E. RNAcentral's name for it is "tRNA-Glu". It matches the Rfam family "tRNA". Rfam says of the family: Transfer RNA (tRNA) molecules are approximately 80 nucleotides in length. Their secondary structure includes four short double-helical elements and three loops (D, anti-codon, and T loops). Further hydrogen bonds mediate the characteristic L-shaped molecular structure. tRNAs have two regions of fundamental functional importance: the anti-codon, which is responsible for specific mRNA codon recognition, and the 3' end, to which the tRNAs corresponding amino acid is attached (by aminoacyl-tRNA synthetases). tRNAs cope with the degeneracy of the genetic code in two manners: having more than one tRNA (with a specific anti-codon) for a particular amino acid; and 'wobble' base-pairing, i.e. permitting non-standard base-pairing at the 3rd anti-codon position. The record is from RNAcentral. Lineage: Bacteria; Pseudomonadati; Bacteroidota; Saprospiria; Saprospirales; Saprospiraceae.
GGUGGUGUAUGCAAGUGGUCAAAGCAGCUAGGCUUUCAACCUAGUCCAAGUUAUUGAGUUCGCGGGUUCGAAUCCCGUCGCCACUA